RNAcentral lists this non-coding RNA (27 nucleotides) under Rattus norvegicus (Norway rat). Lineage: Eukaryota; Metazoa; Chordata; Mammalia; Rodentia; Muridae. The record is from RNAcentral.
CACAAGAAGCCACGUGACUCCAGCUGC